RNAcentral lists this ribosomal RNA (135 nucleotides) under uncultured bacterium. RNAcentral's name for it is "partial 16S ribosomal RNA". The record is from RNAcentral.
CACGGAGUUAGCCGAUCCUUAUUCAUAUGCUACCGUCAUAUUCGUCACAUAUAAAAGCAGUUUACAACCCGAAGGCAUUCAUCCUGCACGCGGCGUUGCUCCAUCAGACUUUCGUCCAUUGUGGAAAAUUCCCUA